GCAAGGGCAAGGCGGCACCUGCCUGUAGUCCCAGCUACUCAGGAGGCUGAGGCGGGUGGAUGAUUUCAGCUAUUCUGGGCUAUAGUGCAUUAUGCAGAUCAGGUGUUCUCACUAAGUUCAGCAUCAAUAUGGUGAAUUCCCGGUAGUGUGGGACCAGGUUGCCCAAGGAGGGGUGAACCAGCCAAGGUCAGAAACAGCAGGUCAGAACUUCUGUGCUGGUCAUGGAGAUCUGCAGUAGUGGGAUCAUGCCUGUGAAUAACCACUGUACUCCAGCCAGGGCAACACAGACAGACCCUGUCUCUA
Unclassified non-coding RNA from Macaca fascicularis (crab-eating macaque), 303 nucleotides. It matches the Rfam family "Metazoan signal recognition particle RNA". From Rfam's summary of the family: The signal recognition particle (SRP) is a universally conserved ribonucleoprotein. NCBI's taxonomy places the organism in Eukaryota, Metazoa, Chordata, Mammalia, Primates, Cercopithecidae. The record is from Ensembl.